ACGGCCGCGGUAUUCUGACCGUGCGAGGUAGCGUAAUCACUUGUCUUUUAAAUAGAGACUGGAAUGAAUGACUAAACGAGGCUCUAUCUGUCUCCUACAGGCGAUCAGUGAAAUUGAUCUCCUCGUGCAAAAGCGAGAAUGGUAACAUAAGACGAGAAGACCCUGUGGAACUUUAAAUAACAGCUAAUAGCCAUAAGCCCACUAAACCGAUAGGACCACUACUAUGGCCACUCUUAGCUCUAUUUUCGGUUGGGGUGACCUCGGAGAAAAACGCAACCUCCGAAGACCUAUACUAAGAACAACAAACCAAAGUGCCUCCGGCUAAACGAUCCAAUAUAUUUGAUUAAUGAACACAAGCUACCCCAGGGGAUAACAGCGCAAUCYCCCUCUUGAGAGUCCAUAUACAACGAUGGGGGGUUACGACCUCGAUGUUGGAUCAGGACAUCCUAAUG
RNAcentral lists this ribosomal RNA (452 nucleotides) under Phrynops geoffroanus (Geoffroy's toadhead turtle). RNAcentral's name for it is "partial 16S ribosomal RNA". It matches the Rfam family "Bacterial large subunit ribosomal RNA", at positions 1927 to 2552 of the family's 2925-position model. The record is from RNAcentral. Lineage: Eukaryota; Metazoa; Chordata; Testudines; Chelidae.